CUCCUCAGACUGAUUUAACACCAGAGGACAGAAAAAAGAAAACUCCUCCAAAUAUGUUAAACAGGAUGUUCCUGGUUUUCAUAUUAUAUCUCUUUCACCUGCCGGUGAAUAAUGGUGACUCUAACAACUACAAUGUCCUCCAAACACCUCCUUUCAUCAUCAAGAAACCUGAUGAAUCUGUUCUCAAUGAGAUCCAAUGUUCACACAGUAUAUCUAGUUUUCAGAACAUCUUUUGGUACAAACAAGACAAACACGGAGCUCUUAAGUACCUUGGAUAUCUGAAUAUGCAGUUCCCUAAUAUAGAGGAGAAUGUGAAAGACAAGAUCAGCUUUGAUGGAGAUGGCAGAUCACAUUCAACUCUAAAUAUUUCUACAGUUUCAGUCUGAUGGAUGGGAGGAAGUCACCCAGUCCUCUGUACUGUGGAAAUUUCAGUGUGAAAAUGCAACGAUGGACUGCAAACCUACCAAGGGUGGUCUCUAUUACAGAUGUACUGGUACAGACAGUUUUCAGUUGUUGACAGUUGUUUUCUUCUUCUGUCUUGUUCUGUUUUCUUCUGUCAUUAGAUGUCAGCAUCAGACCUUUAUGUUAAGAGGAGGAUCCUCUAUGACACCACUUACCUAAGGAUUAAAUGUCUUCACCAAUGCUGUUUGAGGACUGACGCUCAGAAAGAAGCUGGAAAUAUGAAGUAUAACUGCUGAUGCAUGAAGGGAAAUAUUAAACUUUAUCAGCCCAAACAAUCUGGCCUUGAAUUAUUUAAUGCAACCAAAGAUUUAAAGAA
Molecule: long non-coding RNA, 778 nt
Organism: Melanotaenia boesemani (Boeseman's rainbowfish)
Lineage: Eukaryota; Metazoa; Chordata; Actinopteri; Atheriniformes; Melanotaeniidae
Exons: 3
Source: RefSeq, a predicted model, not a curated record